Molecule: small RNA, 79 nt
Filed under: Rhizobium leguminosarum
Lineage: Bacteria; Pseudomonadati; Pseudomonadota; Alphaproteobacteria; Hyphomicrobiales; Rhizobiaceae
Also listed under: 1 other name
Description: suhB
Rfam family: Alphaproteobacterial ar15 (bases 1-70)
Source: RNAcentral
AGCUGUUCCCCUCUGGAGGUUUUUGACCUUCACACUUAUAAGGGCCCUGGUUUUCCAGUGGCCCUCUUUUUUUGCCCUU